This 441-nucleotide ribosomal RNA is filed under the name uncultured bacterium. Its description in RNAcentral is "partial 16S ribosomal RNA". It matches the Rfam family "Bacterial small subunit ribosomal RNA", at positions 338 to 795 of the family's 1533-position model. The record is from RNAcentral.
CCUACGGGAGGCAGCAGUAGGGAAUCUUUCACAAUGGGCGAAAGCCUGAUGGAGCAACGCCGCGUGCAGGAUGAAGGCCUUCGGGUUGUAAACUGCUUUUAUAAGCGAGAAAUAUGAUGGUAACUUAUGAAUAAGGAUCGGCUAACUACGUGCCAGCAGCCGCGGUCAUACGUAGGAUCCGAGCAUUAUCCGGAUUAAAUGGGUGUAAAGAGUUGGUUAGGUGGCAUAUAAAGUGCUAGUGAAAACUGGUGGGUCAACCAUUCAGACUUUUAGCUAAACUGUUAAGCUCGAGACCCGUAGGGGUAACUGGAAUUUCUAGUGUAGGAGUGAAAUCCGUAGAUAUUAGAAGGAACACCAAUGGCGUAGGCAGGUUACUGGGACGGUUCUGACACUAAGGCACGAAAGCGUAGGGAGCAAACGGGAUUAGAUACCCCUGUAGUC